RNAcentral lists this ribosomal RNA (441 nucleotides) under uncultured bacterium. RNAcentral describes it as "partial 16S ribosomal RNA". It matches the Rfam family "Bacterial small subunit ribosomal RNA", at positions 338 to 795 of the family's 1533-position model. The record is from RNAcentral.
CCUACGGGUGGCAGCAGUGGGGGAUAUUGCACAAUGGGGGAAACCCUGAUGCAGCGACGCCGCGUGGGUGAAGAAGUAUUUCGGUAUGUAAAGCCCUAUCAGCAGGGAAGAAAGAAGACGGUACCUGACUAGGAAGCCCCGGCUAACUACGUGCCAGCAGCCGCGGUAAUACGUAGGGGGCGAGCGUUAUCCGGAUUCACUGGGUGUAAAGGGAGCGUAGACGGCCGUGCAAGCCAGGAGUGAAAGCCCGGGGCCCAACCCCGGGACUGCUCUUGGAACUGUGCGGCUGGAGUGCGGGAGGGGCAGGCGGAAUUCCUGGUGUAGCGGUGAAAUGCGUAGAUAUCAGGAGGAACACCGGCGGCGAAGGCGGCCUGCUGGACCGCGACUGACGUUGAGGCUCGAAAGCGUGGGGAGCGAACAGGAUUAGAUACCCGGGUAGUC